RNAcentral lists this ribosomal RNA (806 nucleotides) under uncultured bacterium. RNAcentral's name for it is "bacterial SSU rRNA". It matches the Rfam family "Bacterial small subunit ribosomal RNA", at positions 8 to 818 of the family's 1533-position model. The record is from RNAcentral.
AGAGUUGAUCAUGGCUCAGAUUGAACGCUGGCGGCAUGCCUUACACAUGCAAGUCGAACGGUAACGCGGGGCAACCUGGCGACGAGUGGCGAACGGGUGAGUAAUGCAUCGGAACGUGCCCAGUAGUGGGGGAUAGCCCGGCGAAAGCCGGAUUAAUACCGCAUACGACCUAUGGGUGAAAGCGGGGGAUCGCAAGACCUCGCGCUAUUGGAGCGGCCGAUGUCAGAUUAGGUAGUUGGUGGGGUAAAAGCCUACCAAGCCGACGAUCUGUAGCUGGUCUGAGAGGACGACCAGCCACACUGGGACUGAGACACGGCCCAGACUCCUACGGGAGGCAGCAGUGGGGAAUUUUGGACAAUGGGCGCAAGCCUGAUCCAGCCAUGCCGCGUGCGGGAAGAAGGCCUUCGGGUUGUAAACCGCUUUUGUCAGGGAAGAAACGCGCUGAAUUAAUACCUUGGCGUAAUGACGGUACCUGAAGAAUAAGCACCGGCUAACUACGUGCCAGCAGCCGCGGUAAUACGUAGGGUGCGAGCGUUAAUCGGAAUUACUGGGCGUAAAGCGUGCGCAGGCGGUGAUGCAAGACAGAUGUGAAAUCCCCGGGCUUAACCUGGGAACUGCAUUUGUGACUGCAUCGCUGGAGUGCGGCAGAGGGGGAUGGAAUUCCGCGUGUAGCAGUGAAAUGCGUAGAUAUGCGGAGGAACACGAUGGCGAAGGCAAUCCCCUGGGCCUGCACUGACGCUCAUGCACGAAGCGUGGGGAGCAACAGAUAGAUACCCUGGUAGUCCACGCCCUAACGAUGUCACUGU